CUGCAAGUGAUGAUGAGAUGCAGAUCCUUGCAGAGUGCCUGAUGGUUAAACAUUUGUGGAAGGCUUGUUUUUCCGGAUAUGGCAGAAGUGUGAUGUUUGGGGACAGCUGGUGUCCUUAGACCUAAGCCAUCGUGUGUGUGUUCCAUAUAAGCCUACAGCCUGAGCCAGCUAGGAUGGCAGUGAAGCUGAACUUGAAGAGUAGAGUCUUGUUCCUAAUGAACUGAGAAGAGUAGGACUUGUCAAGUUCUGCACUCAAUUGGAAAUUUUACAUCCUCAGGCCCAGAUGGUCCCUGAUCUGAGAGAGGUGCUCACAGGAAGGAAGAAAGCUUUUAAUG
Molecule: long non-coding RNA, 335 nt
Organism: Grus americana (Whooping crane)
Lineage: Eukaryota; Metazoa; Chordata; Aves; Gruiformes; Gruidae
Exons: 3
Source: RefSeq, a predicted model, not a curated record